This 178-nucleotide small RNA is filed under the name Gopherus agassizii (Agassiz's desert tortoise). Its description in RNAcentral is "TUC338 (ENSGAGG00000018456.1)". Lineage: Eukaryota; Metazoa; Chordata; Testudines; Testudinidae. The record is from RNAcentral.
GUUAUAGUCAUGGACAUUGAUACCUUCUAUGUACUCAUAAAGAUGAAGCAAGGACAGCACAAGUAGCAGCAGCAAGCCCACUUUCUCCACACUGAUGUGCCUCAACAAUGGCCUGGAGGGACCACCUCUAAACCAAGAAAUCGGUUAAGUCUCUGUGCCCACUUAAUCCGUCACUUUU